This is a long non-coding RNA of Anthonomus grandis grandis, 991 nucleotides long. RefSeq lists it as uncharacterized. The record is from RefSeq and is a predicted model, not a curated record. Lineage: Eukaryota; Metazoa; Arthropoda; Insecta; Coleoptera; Curculionidae. The transcript has 3 exons.
UGCUGUCGGUUUUAGGGCACGCAUCAAAGGAGGUCGCGCUCAUUCGCGUUAGCUCUCAAACGGUGUGCUUAGCUACGCACACUUAUUUGCCUAUUUUGUCUUCAGUUCAGUCAGAGUCGCGACAAGCUUAGCGGCGGGAGUUUUUGUAUAAUAUUUUUGAACCCUGCUUAACAAAAUUAAAGCAAGCAACAAAUCUGGUGCUGGCACAAAUGACAUUUUUAAACCAAACUGGUUUGCAUUUGAAAAAAUGCAAAAUUUUCUUCUACCAGUAUACCAGAUAGGAAGAACCCUAAACUCAGAGGAAGCAGCUCGCUAAAAUAACCAUAUAGGCCACAACCGCAGCCGCUUGCUCAUCGUCAUUAUUCACAUUUUUAUUAAAAAAAACCACUACUACUCGUCUCCGCUACUGUUCUAUAACUGAGGCCCUGGCCCUGUGGCGAACGUUUGCCAACAAAGAUGCGAUGUGGAAUAUAUCCCGAAUGCCGCAGCGUGUGGGAGGGUAGCCGAAGCCGCAAUACGAAGGUACAUUCGCCGAAUACACACAUCGGGUGGGGCCGGCUUUAUACCUAAUGCGAACGUAAUUCUCUUUGGUCUCUAGGGGCACAGACCUCUGAAGCAAAGGAUAAAAAGGCAAGAAAACCGUUUUCAAGAACCACGAGGCUUGAAAUAUGUAUAACGAGAACUCUAUGUAACUGCUACAGAUAAUAAAUAUUUUGGGAUAGUAACAAAUGAUCUUUUUGCAUUUCAUUAUUUUAUAUCACAAAAUCUUAACAUUACCUACUUUGUGAUAAAUUAAAACUAUUAUAACUGUUAUAAAGAAUAAAUGUACAUGUUUCCUAAAUAAUAUAUUUUAUGUAUUUGUAAUCUACCGAAUAUGUAUUGAUAGUUGCGGUGUAAUAGUAGGUAUUCUUUAUCUCACCCCCCUGUGUUUUGUUACAACAACAUAGGUGGUCACCUGGGUUGAUUACCAAUGAUAAGAAUAGCUGCUUUA